GAAGAAGCAAAGUGAUGAGUAACACUUGCAUGAGCCGAAGUGAGCGAGCUGUGUGCGUGUGCAGUUGUGUGAUGGUCGGUUGUGAGAAUUGUGUGCCUUAUAAUCAGGCAAUGAUAGCUAAACUGAUAAGAUCUGAUUGCUUC
Molecule: non-coding RNA, 143 nt
Organism: Buceros rhinoceros silvestris
Lineage: Eukaryota; Metazoa; Chordata; Aves; Bucerotiformes; Bucerotidae
Source: Rfam